CCAGACUCCUACGGGAGGCAGCAGUGGGGAAUAUUGCACAAUGGGGGGAACCCUGAUGCAGCGACGCCGCGUGGGCGAGGAAGUAUUUCGGUAUGUAAAGCCCUAUCGGCAGGGAAGAAGAAAUGACGGUACCUGAAGAAGAAGCCCCGGCUAACUACGUGCCAGCAGCCGCGGUAAUACGUAGGGGGCGAGCGUUAUCCGGAUUUACUGGGUGUAAAGGGGGCGCAGACGGCGAUGCAAGCCAGGAGUGAAAGCCCGGGGCCCAACCCCGGGACUGCUCUUGGAACUGCGUGGCUGGAGUGCAGGAGGGGCAGGCGGAAUUCCUGGUGUAGCGGUGAAAUGCGUAGAUAUCAGGAGGAACACCGGUGGCGAAGGCGGCCUGCUGGACUGCAACUGACGUUGAGGCCCGAAAGCGUGGGGAGCAAACAGGAUUAGAUACCCGAGUAGC
Molecule: ribosomal RNA, 448 nt
Filed under: uncultured bacterium
Lineage: Bacteria
Description: partial 16S ribosomal RNA
Rfam family: Bacterial small subunit ribosomal RNA
Source: RNAcentral